CGCGAGAGGAAGCCACGGCGGCGCGCCGCCGGCUGCCACGCUGUUGACUCCGGCGGUGGCUGCGGCACUCGCGAUGGCAUGCUCAGCUUCCUUGUCGGCGGCGAGGAGGCCAUCCUCGCAUGCCUCGGGCUGCUCUUUGCCCACCUUGGUCGACUUCUACACGGCCGGUCAGGAGCGGCGAGCAGCAAAAUCGCGAGGACAGUUGGAUCAACGCGCAGCUCUGGCACUCCUGCUUGAAGAUGUGUGACGCUGACGCCUCGGCGUCUGCAAGGUGGAGCCCAGGCUGGAGGCCGCGCGUUCUGCCCUUGCGCGAUGGCUGCGACCUAUGCGCUGGUGAUUGGUGACGAGGAAGAAGAGGGUGGAGCGCAUGCCCUCGAAGAACCUGAUGGCAAAUCACCGCCGUCGCAAGCUACCUUGAUCAUCAAGAUGGAUAGAACGUCUAGCCUGGGGACACGAUCGACUACAUGAAAGAGCUAGAUGAUAGCGAGGAACACUCCUAAGGUGACCAAUCUAGGCCACCCAGUGUCGUCACGGGAGAGCCGCGUCAUUGCUGCUGUAGCUUGAAAAAAUGGUGAGAACAGGGGACUAGCCGAGGAAUGUUGGCUGAUGGUUGCAGAGCUGCAGUUCGAGGUGGAGCGCAAGCAAGGGCCGUGGCGAUACCCGGGUGGAGAUCUACAGUGCCGCCAAGCUGGGUCGAUCGUUUGCCUGCUUUCUUGACCCUCUCUUUACAGAUGGCUAAUUAUUUCUUCUGCUGCAUCAGGAACACACCGGGUACGGCGUUAGCUCACUCACCUCCCUAUCUAGCCCUAACUCUGCAAAACAAACCAGGUUCAAUCAAUCGAUCCAAGAGACAUACGUGGGAGUUUAUGAUACAGGCCUUCCAUACGUAAAUAGCCCAUGUCGAUGAGGAGAGGAUAGGCAUGUACGGAGCAGAAAUAUUUUUUUUCCUUUUCAUUCAAUAUUUUUUGGCUACCAAUCUGAUCUCAGUCGGGUGCGGCGCGUUUAGUUCGCUCAGGAGGGCACGCUGGAUCUGUGUCCAUUGCAGUUUUCCACUAAUUUGGUUCCUGAUCAAUUUUAUCGGUUUGUCGGGCGGCGGAUCGUUUCUAUCAGCUGCUUGCAUGAUGUGUAGGACUGGACGCGUGAUGUCACUACCUGCAUGCAUCAAUUGUUUCCCGUAUCUUCUUGACGGGCGUUCAAUGUAGGCGGUUGUGCCUUUUUCAAAUCUCCUUUGUGUGUCAUUGUUGUGCCGCUUUGAUUCCUAUUUUUCGGUGGCCCGCUUUGGUGACCAUUUAAUUGGUGCCUUCAUUGUGGGUCUAUAAAUAUGGAGAUUUAGUAUUGGGUUGUUUCACUGAUGCGUUUGAUUCCUGCUUCAUGGUGAUCCCCGCAGUUCUCGCCGUCUUGGGUCCUCCUUGUGGCAUCCGUGUUGGUGUUGUUGGUCAUGCCCAUGGUUGGCGAGCUGCUGCUGAUGGUUGGAAUCCUGAUGGUCGUGCCCGUAGUUCUUCUAACCAUGGCUGAGUUGCUGCUGAUGGUUGGAACACCGCCGCCUUGUGAGGAUGCGGACGGCUUUGACGACGUCCACACCGUGUUCUUGCAGGGGCAUCACCGCCUCCGUGUGGAGUGACCUCACGAAGGGUGUCCUCUAAUGCGACUGAUUUUAUUGCCGGUGAGGAGAAAGAGCAUGCACCCAUGGUUUUCAACCGUGUCCUGCAGCCGGAGGAACUCAGAAUCCUGCGAUAGGCCACCCACACGAUGGAAGAGAUCCACGCGUACCAGAAAUAACUGGAAGAAGGUUGGUACCAGCCGGUGUAGAUGCAUAUAUAUGUCUUAUCAUUUGGUCCAUCAAGUAGCAUGCAUGCAUGUCGGAAUAGUAGGGCACUUGACAAUGUUUCUUGAUCUUAAUAUGAACACUCUUUGCCUGUAAUUUGUGACUUGUAAGUAUGAUGUAUGUAGUACAUCCGGGUACUCUAAAGAAGGUAACUUCCGACACUAUGAUUAGUUAGUUCUCAAAGUCACACAUACUUGUUUCGCAAAAUAGAUGGUUUGUCACUAUGUUUUGGUAAUAAUUGUUUUAACUAAUGGUGUAUGGCUUUUCUUCAAAACUGUUCCAGUACAUACAUAAGGAAACUGGGUGCAAGCAGAAUUUGCGUUGCAUGUUUCUUUUUGUUUUGUGAUGACAUUUUCCAAGUUUUUUUUGACAUUUCAACAAGGGUCUCUAUUUAUAUAUUUAUGUGCUAUUCAACUAAAAUUUGAUUCAACGUGCACCUCUUGGCUCUCAAAUUAAGGCAUGUAUCUUUUUUUUGUUCUCUCCAAAAUCAGUGGAAAAAGAGAAGAGCUUAGGAUGUUCAU
Molecule: RNA transcript, 2346 nt
Organism: Triticum dicoccoides
Lineage: Eukaryota; Viridiplantae; Streptophyta; Magnoliopsida; Poales; Poaceae
Exons: 2
Source: RefSeq, a predicted model, not a curated record